This 30-nucleotide small RNA is filed under the name Bombyx mori (domestic silkworm). RNAcentral describes it as "piRNA piR-bmo-1640952". The record is from RNAcentral. Lineage: Eukaryota; Metazoa; Arthropoda; Insecta; Lepidoptera; Bombycidae.
UAUUCAAUGACUAAGUAAAACUACCAAUUC